UGGGGAAUAUUGCACAAUGGGCGCAAGCCUGAUGCAGCCAUGCCGCGUGUAUGAAGAAGGCCUUCGGGUUGUAAAGUACUUUCAGCGAGGAGGAAGGCGUUGUGGUUAAUAACCGCAACGAUUGACGUUACUCGCAGAAGAAGCACCGGCUAACUCCGUGCCAGCAGCCGCGGUAAUACGGAGGGUGCAAGCGUUAAUCGGAAUUACUGGGCGUAAAGCGCACGCAGGCGGUCUGUCAAGUCGGAUGUGAAAUCCCCGGGCUCAACCUGGGAACUGCAUCCGAAACUGGCAGGCUAGAGGCUUGUAGAGGGGGGUAGAAUUCCAGGUGUAGCGGUGAAAUGCGUAGAGAUCUGGAGGAAUACCGGUGGCGAAGGCGGCCCCCUGGACAAAGACUGACGCUCAGGUGCGAAAGCGUGGGGAGCAAACA
This 427-nucleotide ribosomal RNA is filed under the name uncultured bacterium. RNAcentral describes it as "partial 16S ribosomal RNA". It matches the Rfam family "Bacterial small subunit ribosomal RNA", at positions 355 to 774 of the family's 1533-position model. The record is from RNAcentral.